Molecule: ribosomal RNA, 1220 nt
Filed under: Leuconostoc carnosum
Lineage: Bacteria; Bacillati; Bacillota; Bacilli; Lactobacillales; Lactobacillaceae
Description: bacterial SSU rRNA
Rfam family: Bacterial small subunit ribosomal RNA
Source: RNAcentral
AUUAGUUAGUUGGUGGGUAAAGGCCUACCAAGACAAUGAUGCAUAGCCGAGUUGAGAGACUGAUCGGCCACAUUGGGACUGAGACACGGCCCAAAUUCCUACGGGAGGCUGCAGUAGGGAAUCUUCCACAAUGGGCGAAAGCCUGAUGGAGCAACGCCGCGUGUGUGAUGAAGGCUUUCGGGUCGUAAAGCACUGUUGUAUGGGAAGAAAAGUUAAGGUAGGGAAUGACCUUAGCCUGACGGUACCAUACCAGAAAGGGACGGCUAAAUACGUGCCAGCAGCCGCGGUAAUACGUAUGUCCCGAGCGUUAUCCGGAUUUAUUGGGCGUAAAGCGAGCGCAGACGGUUGGUUAAGUCUGAUGUGAAAGCCCGGAGCUCAACUCCGGAAAGGCAUUGGAAACUGGUUAACUUGAGUGCAGUAGAGGUAAGUGGAACUCCAUGUGUAGCGGUGGAAUGCGUAGAUAUAUGGAAGAACACCAGCGGCGAAGGCGGCUUACUGGACUGUAACUGACGUUGAGGCUCGAAAGUGUGGGUAGCAAACAGGAUUAGAUACCCUGGUAGUCCACACCGUAAACGAUGAACACUAGGUGUUAGGAGGUUUCCGCCUCUUAGUGCCGAAGCUAACGCAUUAAGUGUUCCGCCUGGGGAGUACGACCGCAAGGUUGAAACUCAAAGGAAUUGACGGGGACCCGCACAAGCGGUGGAGCAUGUGGUUUAAUUCGAAGCAACGCGAAGAACCUUACCAGGUCUUGACAUCCUUUGAAGCUUUUAGAAAUAGAAGUGUUCUCUUCGGAGACAAAGUGACAGGUGGUGCAUGGUCGUCGUCAGCUCGUGUCGUGAGAUGUUGGGUUAAGUCCCGCAACGAGCGCAACCCUUAUUGUUAGUUGCCAGCAUUCAGAUGGGCACUCUAGCGAGACUGCCGGUGACAAACCGGAGGAAGGCGGGGACGACGUCAGAUCAUCAUGCCCCUUAUGACCUGGGCUACACACGUGCUACAAUGGCGUAUACAACGAGUUGCCAACCUGCGAAGGUGAGCUAAUCUCUUAAAGUACGUCUCAGUUCGGACUGCAGUCUGCAACUCGACUGCACGAAGUCGGAAUCGCUAGUAAUCGCGGAUCAGCACGCCGCGGUGAAUACGUUCCCGGGUCUUGUACACACCGCCCGUCACACCAUGGAAGUUUGUAAUGCCCAAAGCCGGUGGCCUAACCGUAAGGAGGAACC